AUGGCUGACUGUGGCUCUCAGUCGGAGCGUCCAGGCUCCAGCCCGCGGGGUCCAGGUGUGCAGGCGUGUGCAGGCUGCAGACAGUGGGGAGCUGAGCUGGACAGAGCUCAGAGGAUGGCGCCUGGAGCGGGGGGAGGCAACCGUGGGAUCGCGGCGCUCGGGGGUGUCGCCACGGGGGCAGCUCAUGGGCAGCAGAAUGGCCCCUUGAGCCUCAGCUCUCGUGCCAGUGCCACAGCGUUCCUGGAGUCGGUCAGCGUCCUUGUCCACCGCAGCUGUGAGAAGACUGAGUUGGCAUUUUCCACGCUAAGUGGAACGUCCAGAUUUGGAAGGAAGUUCAUGAAACCACUUUCAGCUUCGGAGCGCUUGCUCACCGGGUGCUGUAGGCCUGCUCUUGACGAGCUCCGCGUCCAGUGCUCAGGACAGCCUGCGCACAAAGCUUAUCUAGGCAAGACUGUUACCAAUGCUGUGGUCACUGUGCCAGCUUACUUCAAUGACUCUCAGCGUCAGGCAACCAAAGAUGCUGGAACUAUUGCUGGUCUUAAUGUACUUAGAAUUAUCAACGAACCAACUGCUGCUGCUAUUGCUUAUGGCUUAGACAAAAAGGUUGGAGCUGAAAGAACUGUGCUGAUUUUUGACUUAGGAGGUGGCACUUUUGAUGUGUCAAUCCUCACUAUUGAGGAUGGAAUCUUUGAACUGAAAUCUACAGCUGGAGACACCCACUUAGGUGGAGAAGAUUUUGACAAUCGAAUGGUCAAUCAUUUCAUUGCUGAAUUCAAGCACAAGCACAAGAAGGACAUCAGUGAGAACAAAAGAGUUGUCCGCCGUUCGCGUACUGCAUGUGAGCGAGCUAAGAGAACCCUCUCUUCUAGCACCCAAGCCAGUAUUGAGAUUGAUUCUCUCUAUGAAGGAAUCGACUUCUACACCUCCAUUACCAUGCUUGCUUUGAAGAGUUUAUGCUGACCUGUUCCGUGGCACUCUAGACCCUGUGGAGAAGGUUUUUCAAGAUGCCAAACUGGACAAGUCUCAGAUCCAUGACAUUGUCCUAGUGGACGGUUUUACUGUAUCCCCAAGAUCCAGAGGCUUUUACAAGACUUCUUCAAUGGAAAAGAAUUGAAUAAGAGCAUCAGUCCUGAUGAGGCUGUUGCUUAUGGUGUAGCGGUUCAGGCAGCCAUUUUAUCUGGAGACAAGUCUGAAAAUGUUCAAGAUUUGCUGCUGCUGUAUGUCACUCCUCUUUCUCUUGGUAUUGAAACUGCUGGUGGUGUCAUGACAGUUCUCAUCAAGCGCAAUACCACCAUUCCUACCAAGCAGACCCAGACCUUCACUACCUACUCGGACCACCAUCCUGGCAUGCUCAUUUGGGUAUAUGAAGGUGAGUGAGCCAUGACCAAGGAUAACAACCUGCUUGGCAAGUUUGAACUCACAGGCAUACCUCCCGCACCCCGUGGUGUUCUUCAGAUUGAAGUAACUUUUGAUAUUGAUGCCAGUGGCAUCCUCAGUGUUUCUGCAGUUGAUAAAAAUACCGGAAAAGAGAACAAGGUUACCAUCACUAAUGAUAAGGGCUGUUUGAGCAAGGAGGACAUAGAGUGUAUGGUCCAGGAAGCAGAGAAGUACAAAGCUGAAGAAGAGAAGCAAAGGGACAAAGUGUCCUCCAAGAACUCAUUGGAAUCCUAUGCUUUCAAUGAAAGCUACUGUUGAAGAUGAGAUGCUGCAAGGCAAGAUUAAUGAUGAAGAUAAACAGAAGAUUCUUGACAAGUGUAAUGAGAUCAUCAACUGGCUGGAUAAGAAUCAGACUGCGGAGAAAGAGGAACACCAGGGCGAGGAGAAGGUGACAGGUGACGUUGGAGAUGCAAGUGGGAGACAUGCCACAAAGGGGCUCCUCUUCAUGAAUGCACUUCUGUACAAUUGA
Molecule: RNA transcript, 1906 nt
Organism: Octodon degus (degu)
Lineage: Eukaryota; Metazoa; Chordata; Mammalia; Rodentia; Octodontidae
Gene name: heat shock cognate 71 kDa protein-like
Exons: 4
Source: RefSeq, a predicted model, not a curated record